Linepithema humile (Argentine ant) is the source of this 538-nucleotide non-coding RNA. The record is from RefSeq and is a predicted model, not a curated record. Lineage: Eukaryota; Metazoa; Arthropoda; Insecta; Hymenoptera; Formicidae.
UAUAUAUAGUGAGUGACGACCAGUGUUUUGAAUAUUAAAUAUAUAUAUCAUUUAAUUAUUGAUAUAUUUUGAAAAGGUUGUCUAUUAAAAGAAAAUGACUUUUUGCUGCGUUCCUCAUUGUCGCAAUAAAAGUGAGGAUGGCAUUUCGAUGAGGCAUUUUCCAAAAAAUGCUGAACGCCGAGCAUUAUGGGCCCAAAAAGUAAAUAGAAAAAAUUGGGAACCUAAUGAUUAUUCGUGUAUUUGUGAUGUUCACUUUUCAUCAGAAAUGUGGGAGAAACCUCGUGUCGAUGGCAAAAAAAAUUAAAGGCUAAUUCUGUACCAACAAUUUUUCCUCUACCGAAACAUAGAGAGCCAGGGUUUUUGUCAAAUGAAUAUUGACAAAGAGGUUCAAGAUUCUUUUAAUACUUCUGUAGUAUCUAUGAAUGAUACUUUUUGUGUACCAUUGGAAUCUUCUGCACCAUUGGAGUCUUCUGCACCAUUGGAGUCUUCUAAUACAAUUAAUUUAACUUCAGUAUCCACAAUAUCCAGUCCACUGGAC